UACGAAGGGAGCUAGCGUUGUUCGGAAUCACUGGGCGUAAAGCGCACGUAGGCGGAUUUGUUAGUCAGAGGUGAAAUCCCGGGGCUCAACCUCGGAACUGCCUUUGAUACUGCAAGUCUCGAGUCCGAGAGAGGUGGGUGGAAUUCCUAGUGGAGAGGUGAAAUUCGUAGAUAUUAGGAAGAACACCGGUGGCGAAGGCGGCCCACUGGCUCGGUACUGACGCUGAGGUGCGAAAGCGUGGGGAGCAAACAGG
Molecule: ribosomal RNA, 253 nt
Filed under: uncultured bacterium
Lineage: Bacteria
Description: partial 16S ribosomal RNA
Rfam family: Bacterial small subunit ribosomal RNA
Source: RNAcentral